This 39048-nucleotide long non-coding RNA is filed under the name Musa acuminata (dwarf banana). The record is from RNAcentral. Lineage: Eukaryota; Viridiplantae; Streptophyta; Magnoliopsida; Zingiberales; Musaceae.
UCCCUCGCAAACGCAAGACGAAAGCAAAGAGAGGAAAGGAAGUCGCCUCCUCAUGCGCUCUUCCCUCCCGCUCCCUCUCUUUCAUCGUCGUAGGGGUCAUCGCGCAUCGAUGAGGCCGAGGAGGGCAGUAAGCAGAGGGUGGGACGAGCACGCGGUGUCGGAGAAGGUUGGCUGCCUCGCCGUGACGAAGGAGAUGAGGUUCAGGCUCUACAUCCUGCGGAGAUGCGUGGUGAUGCUUCUCUGCUGGCGCAAGUAUGGCAAGUCUUGAUGACGCAGAACGACGUAGGAUAGGAAAGAUCACGGCGACACGGCAUAUUUCCUUAUCGCAUCAGACGUCUGUCUCUCUCUUGAUCUGGCUGUAUUAUUUAGGCUAAGGGGAAGGAAACUAAUGUCUUGCAUGUGCUUCAUGGUCCAAUCUUAUUUGGUUUCUGCCCCCCUUUUCAUAAGCAUUUUUUGUAUAGACUGAUUACUGCAAGCAUGAACAGCUUUUCUUGUCAUGUUCUUUCAAGUACUUGUGCUACAAGUUGGAACUCUUAUAAUUGUAUGGAAAUUUGAAACCUCAUGUACUAUGUACAGCCAAUUGAGUUUUUAUCCUGAGAUUAAAGUUGCUCCAUGCACCACCAAAGAUGGGAGUGCAUGAGAAUGGUAAAGACGAACAAAACCAUCUUAUUAGCAAUUUGCCCAUCAUAUUAAAGGGGAUGGAAUAAGUUGGUGAUUGGGAGUGCUCUUCUUUCUGGUUCUUAAAAUACUGUGACUGUGGACUGCGCUUGCUGUCCAAAAAGAUAAAGGAGUUCGCAUUUUCUUGUUGGGUGGAAACAGCCCGCGUAUCUUUGCUCAUAUAAAGAUAGAUAUGGUUCCCAUGGCAACUUAGCUUUUAGAUUCUGUCUCUGAUAUAUAUGUAGUUCGGAUGAGCUAGAACCCCACAACCAUGAAAUCAAUCAAAUAACACCAAAAAGUAUAAUCCAUUAGGGAUAAGUCAGAAAAGAGAAACUAUUAGAACAAAUAAAACUAGUACAAACAAUAGCUUCUCCACUUAUCUUGCACUAAAGGAUCAUAUGGAGCAGGCAACUUGAAAUAGAUUCUGGACUAGAAAAAUAGGGUAAGCUUGGAUAUGAGACUAACUAGCUACGUUUUAUGUAAUAUAAAACAUGAGCUUCACUCGAUCAUUGCAGAACAAUACGUUCAAAUAACCUUGGAGAAUUACUUGCAUUAAUAAAUAAGCUAAGAUGCUCAGCAUAUGUUUUAUUUCAUGUGACGAUGAUCUGGAAUGCAUUUUGGGAAGUCCUCGUUUCACCGAGAGAAACCUUGUUGAUUCUGUGAGAGGGAUCCAUCGAAAUGUGUGAGUUCAUAUCACAGCUUCAGAUAUGACCUAUUUUUGACCCCAAAAGAAAGUCAUCUAUUUCUCAGAUUAAGUUUUGUGCAGAGGAGUGUGGGACAGAAUUGAAUUGGUGGCAGUGCAUAAGUCAACGAUUUCAACAGUGAACAAAUAUUUUGUUGCAAGUUUCUUUUGACUGCACAUCUCCAACUGAAGAUUUGCACCGGUGUACUACGAAACAAAAGGCCGAUGAUUCCACCUGCAUCAACAAGUGCAAGCAUGCAGCAUAGAAUUAUUGAUGCUUGACCUCUUGUGGAGCCUUCUUUCAGCUUGACGUGCACUCUGAAGUCGAACAAAAUAGAAUAUUCAACAGAUGAGCUGGAAAGUGGAGAUAAUUAUUGUAAGGUAUCGGAUCCUGAAUCAAUUUCCAUGAACACAUCUGUUUCUUAGUUUGGAAAGAUGAGACCUGUGAUGUCUCUGAAGUCAAGGUCGGUGAACCCACAAAUCCUAAGUAUAGUAUGUCUCAGCAGGCAUAGAAUUCUGUAGUUAUAUCUGAUGCGACAAUGGAGAGGGAGAGUGGUGAGAGGGAGGGUAGACUUCAAUGGCGGUUGCGUGAUGAGACGGUAGCGCAUUUAUGUAGAAAGAUGCCUGCUAUUAUAUCGUUGCUCAGACAAAGAUUCCUUCAUUUACUGCUCUUUGUGGAGUCAUGCCCUCAUUUACUCCGCACCCUCGUUUCAUACGUCAAACACUUGCAAAGAACAGAAAUCUCAUCGACUUUCACGUCAUCGCAAUCUCUCAUUGCCAAAGAAAACACUGUACCUAACCAUUUGACGAGGCUAGGUUGACGGUGAGUGAACCAUCGGCUCUGACAUGUGACGUUAUUGCAGAAUCAACAGAGAAGACAACCUGAAGGUUGCAGUUCAUGCAUGGUGCAUGGUGUGUAGAUAGCCUCUGCUACAUGUAAGACAGAUGAUUAAUGAGAACAAGCAAGUGUCAUUCUGAAUCAAUUCAUUAAACUCUCGGUUAUGUACACAUACGUGUUCAUAACCGUAGCUCUCUCUCUCUCUCUCUCUACGUUCGCUGGUCAUUUAUAUCUCGGUGAGAGAAAGAGGAAGGAGAGAAUAUUUCGAGGAGGUAGUUGACAAUUAAUGCUGCAGACUGUCUCUCUCCUUUGGCAGUCGGGCGUUUUAAAUCCUUUUGCCACCGCCAUCGACCUCCUUAAAUUCCACCACAUUUCCUUCCUCUCCUACGCACCUCGCUUUCCCCUCUUCAUCUUCUCUUCCUCCUUACUUGAAAGGAGAAUGCAGCCUCUCUCUCUCUCUCGCUAACAGAGUUUGGAAGAAAGGAGAAGAAUCAACCAUGAAACAGUCACUAUGAUGUUGGCCCGGCUCGAUCAGAAAGCACCACCAUGCACGGCUAAGCAAAAGACGACAUCCACUGCAUUCUGAUUGAGCCGCGCCAAUAUCUUAGUAACUUUUCGUUCUUAAACCUGUUGCAGAAUCAGUAUUCAGCCUGCAUGCAACUCUUCCAUUCAGGUACUUGUAUAUAUUAACUCCUUGUUCUUGUUAUCUGACAUACAAGGCAUACAUUUCUUCUGUUGCAUGCCAUAAAGAUACAUCACCAUGCAUAUAUACGCACAAAGGAAGAUCAAAACAAGCCUGAUAUAUGUGAUGGAGAUGGCAUCUUCAUGUGCGUAGAUGCCGGGCAAAGAUUGUUCUUUGCUUUUAAUUUUCGUUCGAUGCACUUAUGACAAUCUCAUGUCAUAAAUCCAGUGACUAUAUCUCAUCACUCGAAGUCUCUGCCGAAAUAGCAAGCACACAUAUUGCAUGCAUGCGUUGGGUUGGGUUUGUAGUAUUGAUCUGAUUGUGGAGUCUGGUAAAAUAUCCAAGAAGACAUGCUAGUUUUCAGAAGAAAAGGGGAAGAGACUCCUCCAGUGAGAUAUCAGAUCCAAGGAGUAAGCUUUUGUAUUUUCUAUCCUUUAGGUUGUGUUUUAUUUCUUUUUUUAUUUUUCGAAAUAAAUGCGGAAUGUCACUUCCUUUUCAUUAUAAAAAAUGUAAAAUAAAUAAAGAAAUAAAGCAUUAGGCAAGUAGGGUGGUGGACACGAGGCUCUUACGAGGAGUGCAAUGGCAAAUGGCUCGCCAGAAUGGUUGAUGUACGUUUCUUGCUUAUCUGUUUUCUUUGUCCGGAGAACAUUAGGGCAGAAGAGAUGAAUAACGUACGUAACGUAAGCUCUAUCGUGCGUUGAAGAGUUGGUUUCGGUGCGCUCGAGGUUUGCUUAAACACAAUGGGUUGUUCUUGUUCUUAUCAGUAUGAGAUUGAAGACUUGCCCCCCUGUUCUUAUGUUGCACAGACGGUGAUAUAAGGCUUGCUUGCUUCAACAUCUGCAUUAAUGUCUUAAACCAACUUUGGCUGACACAGUUGUUCUAUUCUGUACACAAACUUUCCGAGUUCCUUGCGGUCUGGGGAAAGGAUAUAUAUUCGUCUCGUAUUUGCUUGCUAUUGUUGCAAGAUGAACACCUUUUUCUUCUUCCCCUUUGUUCCGUGUCAUUUCCUGCCAUUCGUUCCUCGAUUUAGUCGUCACAAGUUCUAUUACUGCGUCCUGCUUGAAACCGAGGAAGAGCAGCAUUUCAGAGAAAGGGACCUCGGUGGUGUCAGAUUGGGCUGAUGACCUUUCUGAUAGAGCUGCCCAUUCUUUCCUUCACAUUUACUUUCCAUUUCGACUGUUGACUCUCACAUGUCAUUUUGUAGAUUUUAUCCUCUGUAAUUAAAGCUUUCUUCUUUCUUGAAAUGAAAGAAUGCACAUUGCUACGUGCUCAUGGAAGUGGACAUGAAUCGCUAAACCUCCUUGGAAUUCUUGGCACAGCUACUUCAGUACCUUGUUAUUACUAUUUGAUUGAGAAGGGAGGGGUUGUUCUCUCUCUCCCUUUCUUUACGGUCACCACAGUUGCUCCGUGCACUGCCGAAUUCAACAUAUACUCGUACCGAAUGAUGCUUGUUCUGAGUGCAGAUUCGAGAGACAUUUGGUGACACUUGGCGAGGAAGGACACGGAUCAAGGUAACAAUGACCUUCUAGGCUCGGGUACCCGAGAGAGUGACUGCAGAUGAAGGCUUAGAACUUCGACCCGCCCGGCACGGCGCUCAUCUUCAAUCUGGCGUUCGCGUCGCUGCUGGACCUCGAGCAGGACGAGGAGAUGAUCGCGCGGAGUAAGAAGACGCUGAGCAACGUGUUAAGCUUUUUCUACAUGGACAGGAUAAGCUUUUUCUCGCUAAAUGAUAUUGGCCAAAUUGCAGUCACGUAAUUUAUGAAGGCGUAUGCAAAAUGACUGAUGGUGGGAUAAAGAUUCAAUUAGCUAACGAAAGUAAAGGAAGAAGAUUACUUGUUUAGGGCAAAACAUAGAUAUCAAAGAAAAACAAAUGAUCUUCCAUUUCUCAUAUCGCUAGUUGACAUUAUCUUAGCAUAUAUGAAACCCAAACAACUUUAGCCGACAAGACUCAAAACAGCUUAGAUCCUAAUUUUGUAUGUACCCUAAUAAGAUAUAUACUAUAGAGAAAAAUAUUACAAUGACAAACACAUUGGUAAAAAUGUCAUUAUUCACUAUCAAAAGAUACAUAAAAAAUAAAAAAUGAUUUUAUUAAGUAUAAAAUAAUAUCCCAAAUGGACUCAAUGAUCAUACACAAAGGACAUCAAAGAUAAGUGUAGACUCAAUUAUCACUUAACAAUUUUAUUGACCAAAAAUAAAAUAAAUAAAUUCACUCACAUUUUAGGAUAUUGUCGGCCUCAUUUAUCUUGUAAAGUACGAGAUUUUUGUAAAUAUUUUGAUCAUUUUUUAAUCUGCACAAUGAUAACUCAACAUGGUAUAAAAUUUAAAAUAUAUUAUUGUUAAGGAUAUUAUAUAUCCUCUUCUACAUUUAAGAUGUAGAGCGACAUCGCACAAUAUUUGUAUCGUAUAUUUACAUCGGUGUCGAUGUAAAUAUUGAGUGGUCUUUAUCUUUUAGCAUCAUUCUUUUCAUCCAUAACACUCGUCAGUGAUGUUGUCAUCCAUCACUAUCGAUAUCGUCUAUCACCACCGAUUAUAGCAUUAAGAUUAUAUUAUAUUUUUAUAUAUUUAUUAGUAGAAUCGAUAAUAUUAAAAUAAAUACAUCUAGAUAUUUCAUCUUAUAAUUAUAAAAAAUAUUAAUAUAAUUUUUUAAAAUAUAAAGAUCGAGAUAUUAAGGUAACUAACUAAAAAUCCCUAUCUUAUUUUUAUUGUCGUAGCCUAGUGGAUCUAACGAGUCAUAUCACGAUGCUGGUCCAAAGUGCAAGCCUCGGACCCCUCACCAUCCCAUUUGACGCGGUCUAAGUGGUGAGAUGAGGCAGCGCUCGGUAAAUCAAUAUUAUCUCCUCCCUCCGUCGGCGGCCUUCUUCGUCUUAAAAUAGUUUCCUGUAGAGGUUGGAUCCAAUCGAGAGUCUCAACAGUAUGACACGCUGCACUACUCCCCAUCGCGAGACCCAAAAUUCCAUCCAGCUUUCCACCCGAGAAAUCAACACCGUCACGCCCUCAGAUGGAGGGGAUCACAUGUGGAUAGAAGCGACAGAUCUGUCUCCAACACUGUACAUUACAUCUCUCCCUCCCUCCCGACAACACCUCCGACGUCGACCGUGAGGCGCCGGACUUUGGAUUCCUCACCACCCUCCAAACGAACAUCUGUGCGUGCCCUGCGGGCAAUGGCUGGGCGAAUCUCCCCCCAUUCACAAGCCUCUCUUGGCUUUUUCUUUUUAUCUUCGCAAUUAUUGACCUGCAAACUUAUCGCCAUCGAUGAGAAUUGAAGAGCCCAACUGCAAUGAGUUUCUCUUCCUUUUCACGCAACGAGAGCACCCAAAUCGUACUAAAUUUACGAGUCUGAAGUUAGCCGACGCACCUUCUCGUACAGUAUUUUCCCACACUCGACAACUUGCAUACAUCAAUCUUCAACAUCAAGUUAUAUUUUGUCGCGAAGCUGACAUUAUUGGCUUUAUUUCCUGACAAAAAGCCGGCACACAGCACUCUGACGUAUAUUGUGGUCCAUCUUCUAUAUCUAUGGGAAGAACCCAAGAAAAAAAAGAAGAGCUCUCAAUACCUUGAUGCUCUCGUAUUUAGUCAGACAUUAACUUUAGUUUCUGAGUUGGAAGACUUAUAAAAACAUUAUAUAGUUUUUGAUCGCUAUAAAGUGUUGGAAUCAAAACUUGUAGUCAUGGAAAACAUGUCACCAAUAAGGUAAGGGAAGCUGGAUUAUCCUAUUAAAAUAUCUUCAUAUCGAGGACCCAAUCCUAAUCUGACAUUUACGUGAUUUGGAAGCGGAUAACUUCAACAAAAACGUGAGGGGGCAGUCACGACAGAGAGAUGAAGAUUCGGAGAGGAAAGGAAACGGACCCAAAGGUCACACACACCCAUGGGGUCCACUAUUCGUAGGCAUCCAAAGCUAGCAUUUUACCACCGUCACGUGUCCGGGACUGAUGGAGCCCACUGCUGGGUCCAUCGCGUCAUGCAAUUGCAAGGCAGGUUCUCAGAACCAUUUAUGUGGCUUUGCCCGUUGCGUACCUCACCGCGCCGACCCAGACAUGGGAACCAACGGACCACGUGAGCCUCCACGUGACGACCCGCCCGUGUCACGUCAGUCCUACCUCACGCUCCGCUACAAUACGGUAUAUUCCGUUAGAAAAUUCUUCUUCCUAAUCAGGUUCUCGUCCCCCUCAUCUCACCCCGCCUCUCCUCCUAUAUAACAACCCCCCCGUUUCUUCCCUCCCUCCCCUCAGCAAGAAUCGGGACAGCGUCCUACCUUGCAUAUUUGUUUCACGAAUUCUACCAAAUACAUGAUGAGCGUCGAUCGCGCCGAGAGGCUGCUGGAAGAGGCAUUCAAGAUCCAGGGCCGGGACAAGAAGGGACGCAAGAUCCUCCGCAUCGUCGGCAAGUUCUUUCCCGGUACGAAGGGUUGAUCCGCAUCCUUUUGUUCGUCUUGUUUGAGUCUUUCGAUCUGUCUCUGAUUCCGGAUUCGUCUGCGACAGCGAGGGAAUUGAUGGGCGCGGGACAGGGUGGAGGCGGCGAGGAGGCGCUGCAGGGUUUUCUGGAGAGGAGGGUGUUCCCGGAGAUCGGCGGGGCGCCGUUCGUGGUGGUGUACAUGCACUCCCUCGUGCAGCGGUCCGAAAACUUCCCCGGCGUGGCGGCGCUGCGGUCGGCCUACGAGGCGCUCCCUGCCGCCGUCCGCGACGGGCUGCGCGCCGUCUACUUCGUGCACCCGGGCUUGCAGGCCCGCCUGUUCUUCGCCACCUUCGGUCGCUUCCUCUUCAGUGCCGGGUGAGUCACGCCUACCUUGCCGUUAACGUUGCGCCGGGAUCGUGUUCCGCUCCUCCUGGCGCACCGAGUCGUUCCUUCCACGGCGGAAAACGGUUUUCGAUCAGUUCCAACCCAACGGAAUUGUCGUUAACGGGAUAAGGGCUCGUUCUAUUAAUUAACGAAUAAUUAGGGGUUUAAUUGAAAUGCUUAAUUCUAUCUACCGAGAAAAAAUGGCCGCAUGACCAAAUUUUAUCUCUAUUGUUGGAGCUAUUAAAUUGAGAUUUCUCCCUCCUUUAUCACAUCCUCUCACUGUGGCGAUACAGGUUGUACCGGAAGCUGCGGUACGUGAGCCGCCUGGAGUUCCUUUGGGAGCACAUGAGGAGAGGGGAGGUGGAGGUGCCGGAGUUCGUUGAGGACCACGACGAGGAGCUGGAGCACCGCCCCCUCAUGGACUACGGCCUAGUGGAGAGCGACCACCACCACCGUGCCUUCGACGACCCCGCCAUAGACUCCGCCGCCUCCAUGCACUCGCUCCGCUGCAUCUCCUAGCCCUGUGGGAGGACCAUUAUGCUCCCCCUGUUUUCUUACUUGUAUUUGUUACUUCGGAUUGCGAAAGGCCGUAACUGUAAAUACAUAUACAUAUAAGAGUAGCUUUUAAAUCUAAAAGCGGUUGCGUCGGUUUGGAUCAAUCGAUGAUCGAUUGGAUGGAGGAGCAAUGUCCUAUUAUACAUAAUUCCAACCUAACCAACGUAAUCAGUUGGAGUUUGAUGUUAGGACGGUCUUUUGAAGCCAUACUAAAACAAUCUCAGGAUGUUGAUAAGGAUUAAGUGUUUUAUUAUAGGGCGUACAUUAAGGGAUUCCGAUAAGGAUGAGUCGUGGCUUCCAAAACAUAGCAUGACACACAUCGCACAUCCUUGGCUCGUAUAGACGCGUUCCACGUAUACAGUACGCUUGUGCGGGUCACUCGGUUGCAUUAUUGGACAUGGAGCCACCCAAGGACGGACAACGUGGGGGCCAAAUAAUAACUUGGAAGUCCAGAUCAGUGCAGACAUGAUAACGAGACCUGCCCACAGUUUGAUGCGGAUAGGGCGGUAGACUCGGCUCUCCUCUCCAAUCUUUUCCAACCAUAUGGAGACUGGAAAUAUUUAAGAUUGUGAUGCCGAAUCGUCGUUGUCAAAGUAAUAAUACUUAUAACCACUAUAGCUUUAACGUUAAAAUAAUGCAAUAUGCUUCGAUUCGAUGGGUACUAAGCGGUUUCAGCUGUGCUGAAGGAACUGUUUAACGAUAAGUAAUGUUUUUUAUCAGUGCCCGAUCUGGUGCUCAUUCUAUACUCGUUCACGUAUAGUAAUUGUUCGAUUGCUUAGAGAAGAAACGAGAUCAAUUUUUUUUUUUUUCGAAUAUAAGAGAAGGCAAAGCUAUUUUCUUUCUGAAAAUAUGAUUUUUUUUGUUUUUCAAAAAGAACAAAAGACUAAUUUCUUAAAUAUUUGAAACAUUUUCUAAUGGUUUUCUCAUUUUUCGAGGAACAUAAUUCAUGGUGAAAUUUUGAGGAGUUUGCUCUUCAAUGUGGAAUUAAUGCACCAGCAAUUGUUCCAAGCAACGACACUGUUCAAUUUCACUCUUUUGCUUAAUGCAACGGAUCCUUCAAAACUUCAAACUUAAAUGUGGUUAUGCUGGGAUGGAUGAUAAGGAUAAGACGAAUGCUGAUUCGGUUUGCAUAAAACAAUAGCAUGAAGCUGAAGUAUUGCGGACAGUAACAGCAGCCCACAACGAUGACAACAUCCAAACUGGAGCAUAACGAGUUCGAGUCCAAGGUCUUCUAAGCCUUCGAUAAGCUAUUUGUAAGCUUUCGUGUCGUCCGCAUGCGCUUAAGAGCAGUGACCGAAAAGACACUCAUCCUUCUCUCUCAUCGAAGAACGGGUUUGACCUGAGACUACCGGGGAAGAUGAGCCAUGGAUACUCAUCACUAGAUUCUCUGCCUUAGGGUCGCCAUCUCCAAGACAUCCACAGUGAGUUAUGUCGCACUUGGCCAUCCACGCAUACUUGCUCCGUUCGACAUCUUAUUUAUGACCUUCCACGCCGCAUACUUCCCUCCUUUGGUGAAGUAAAUUUGCUGCGAAUUAAAUGCAUGGCGAGUAAGGGGAUUAGACGUGGAAAGAAGCUGGUUGACGAGCUGUUGUGCAGCACAGGACUUCAUUCGCAAGUGAUGCUGGGGGUGAGGGUCGUGGCACCAUGAAUGGUUGUGGAUGAGAAGACAAUUGUGCUAUGGGGUACAGUUCCUUCAGUGCCUUCUGUUUACCCUUUUUGCCGUUCUUGAGUUCUUUCAUUAAACAAUAGCUGAAGAAAUUUGAAUCUGUUGGCGAACCUUUGCGUCGUUGUAGAAAUGUCAGCAUAGCUCAGUCCAAUCCUGAAUGCACAAGGUUGUGUAUGUGGAUGCUCGGGUCACAUCGACGUCGGGUCGGAUUAGGUCAAAGCGUCGUAUCCCGAGUGCGGUUCUCCGUCAGGAGGUUGCUACUACUUCGUUGUCGAUUUCUACGUAAAGGUCGAAGUUUGGAAGGAGAUUUUCCAACUCGAUCCCUCUAAAAUUCAAGUCAGUGUUGUAGAGUUAGGGGGAGUUGAGUAUCCACCUUUAUGAUCAAGGAGAGUUGAUCGUACAUGGUUAAUUAACUACAACCAACUUCUCGAGCGGUCGACUUAAGCUUUUGUGCGAGCGCCAAUCGGCCUACACGGAUCGGCGCCGCACGGUGCUUCCCUGAGCUUUCCGAGACGACUGUAUCGUGAUGAUGUUGUUCAUACGGAGGGAGCAACGAGCGGCUGCCUACCAUGUGUGUGCUUCACGUCAUAUCGACUUAAAGUUCCAUGUCAACAUCGUGACGUCUGCUUGCUUGGAUCCACACGGGUGAUACCGAAAUGUGUCAUAUCAUAAUCUAUAGCCAAUAUUCUUAAUUUGGUUCCUUUUCCAUACCCAAUAUAUGCUUGCAGUUGUAGAUUAAAGUAUCUUGUUGGAGGAAGCAAGAAAUGGAUGCUCUUUUUCCUGCAAACAAAAAAAGGGAGGGCUGUAAGAACACUAGAGUGAGUUCUUCAAAAGCGAUAAUGUCUCCCAUGAUCCAGCAUCUUUCCAUGACUCUGAUAACAAGUUUGCUUUUCGAAAGUUAGAGCAAGCGAGGACUGAAUGCAAGUGGUACCAUCGUUGUCCUCUCCAUCCAAUACCAUUUGUUCAUUUAAACUAGUCUUUUUCCAUGACAAAGACCACACCAAAUCUUCAACUAGUGUUUUGCUGUCCCUGCUUUCCUGCCAGUUCCACUCCCAUUAAACAGCGCCACGCCUUUUGACUUGCAGCAGCUGCAGCUCUCUCUGACGAAUCCAGUCUUUCCACUGUUUAGCAAGGAAAUGUUAGGCCUUUAAGAACCCAAUACCUAUAGCCGAAGUCACACCUGCAUUUACCUUUCACUCAAAGUGGCACUGCACUCUCUUCAUCCUUGCAGUCUCUGUUUCCCCAUAGGAAGUGGUCAAGAACAGAACUGGGACUUUCUUCUAUGACUGUGCGUGUCCGAGGGAAAAAGAGAGGGAUUUGUUAGUAUUGGGAGGCAGGAAAGUUGUGUGUUUCCUUUUACCUUUCCGGUUAAUAUCCUCUCUCUCUCUCACACGCACACAUCCUUCGCACUUUCCAAUCCUUCGUUUUCUAUAUAGAAGGAUUUGAGAAGAAAGAAGGAGAGACAUGAUUGAAACCCCACUCCAUCUUGUCUGCUGUAAUGUGCAUUGCACGAGAAGAAGAACCCCAUCAGCGGUGGUUCUCUAUGUAUCUCUCUCUUCCCCUUGCACAAACACAAUAUGUCCCCUCUCUUGGUCAGCAGUAUCAUAAGGUGGAGGCAGCGGCGUCUCAUUUAGUUCGUGGUCGACGUCAUGUGGGAUUACCAAAGGGUUGCUUGCAGAGGUUAUUGGCAUUCUGUCCACCUCCAAAUCAUCCAUCUCCCAUGAACAAGAGAAGCUUACAGAUGGAGGUGGGCAUCCUGCCAACUGAACUCUGCUAGCUUCUCUUUGUAAAGCCCAUUUGACAGAUCUUGUUCCCGAACAAGCCCUAUAUUGCUCUCAUUAUAAGGGAGAAAGCAAACACUUACAUGCCCAGAAUAUGAAAAGAAGGUAACACAUGCAGCUCCUUUCUCAUUCAUUCUUUUAGUAGUACGUUGUUAGGAAGAAGUUCUUCUUCUCCGCUGCUAUAAUCUAUCAACGUUAGAUAUUGGAAUUAUGCAGCCAUCAAUUGAUGAGUUAAAAUUAAAUGCUUGUCUCGUGAGAAUAUAACUUACGUGGCUACAUAAAUAUUGAGAGUACUCUUUGGGAAAAGAACUUAUUGCCAAGAAGAAAAGAAACCUUAGAACAUUUGGACCGAAUGUCUUCAGCACAAAUCUUAUAGGUGAGAUGAUAUGAUUGAAAUAUCAGCAGGAGCUUCUUCCCUUAAGCCAGCCUUAGCUUAGAGUGGGCGAGUAGAUCGGUCAGCUGCUCUACCACAGAGAAGGGCGUUGUUUGGGAUUGGAUGCUCGUCCCUUACUGAUUCCACAGGAGAGUAGACACGCAGAUAGAACUGCUGACCGAGAUACCGGCGCCCCCAGAACUCCGACCGCAGGUUCCACAUCCCCACGUUGUCGAGGGCGACGUAAACAGCAGUCCAUGACUUGGGAUAUACCUUCACAUAUCAGUUGGUGAGAGAGUGUUAAUUCUGAGCUCCUUUGAACAAACUUGGCAAAGUAUCAGACCAGUAUUAGUUUGAGAGAUUAAAGAGAGCGAGGAGAGAUGAAACUGUCAGCAUUUUUCUUUUGCAAAGAGUUAUACUAAUAGCUGCAAGAAUCAGCUCAGCGACAAGCUUGCUCCGAUUCGUGCAGGUCAAAAGCAGAGACAAUGUAUCAUUUUCUGAGAGAAGAAUCAGAACUCUCAUCUUACUUGGGUAGUGCAGCGAGACACUGCAUCGAUGCGAUUGUAAUCCCUUCGUCUGUCCGGGCUCCAUUUUCCACCAUCCAUUCUGAAAACCAUAAUGAGAUACCAACAUCAAGAAGUUGAAUUUGGCUGCAAGCAAGCUUGGUUUUGCGGAGGGAUUACCCGACGACCCAGAAGUUGUAUCCAUCGAGGUGCCAGCUCUGGACGAUGCUCUCCUUGUUCUCGAACACGAUCUCCGCGAAGGCGUGAAAGUCGGCCGCCAUGACCGAGGUGUCGAGGUGCUCCUUGGCGCCCGGGGGGUAGUCGGCGAUGCUCCCGAGCCGGAAGACGCCGCCGAUCUUGAAGUGAUCGGCGAGCUUCAAGGGGGUGUCCGCUUCCACAAACGAGACGCUGUUCACCGCGUAACGUUGCUUGCCGUUCACCUGGGCGGCUGAGUUGGCGAGUCGGACCGCCCGGGUCACGUUGAUCGAGCCAUAGUGGUAUGAGCCCUGCGGAUUCGGCCUUGGCCCGCUUGCAGUGAGGUUCGUCCUGCGCAACGUUAUGCUUGCAGAAAAGUAGGUGAAGAAUGGGAAUGAGAUGCAGCACAGCAUUGAAAUGUGCACCUGAUCGUGCGCGCUUGCUCCAGAGACCAAUCGAUCUGACCCGUAGGCCCUGCCGGGAUGGAUCCCGACGCCUUCUGCUUCGAGUUGCGGUAGUGAAGAGUGGCAGUGGCGGUAAGGACGGGGUUGGUGAACCGGGUGGACACGGCGAUGUAGUAGUCCCGGACGGGCUGGUCGGCGGUGACCAGCACCGACAACGACUGGCCGACGUGCACGUCGAGGGAAGAGUAGUCGUUCUGCAAGGUGUGAGUGCCCUCCACCUCCACCAGCUUCAUCGUGUGCGCCUGCACCCGGAUGUUCAACGAGUUCUGCAGCCCAACGUUGGAGAUCCUCAGCCUGUACGUCUUGCCUGCAGCGCCCAACACAGAGAUGGAAGACGUAGCUAACUCAUGAUGUGCGACAUGAGUAAGCGAUACCAACCUUGAUCGACUGCGAAGGUGGCGCCAUUGGAGCUGCGGCCAUUGAUGAGAAUGGCGUCCGGGAAGGGGAGCCUCUUGCCGCGGUCCAACCUGGCUUUUAGAACCUACUCGACAACAUUAAAAGACGGUACAAUAAUAUGAUCAUGCAAAUAACCAAUUGAAAGAAUUAAUGACUAAUAAACUAUAAAUUCAAAAAUAGUAUAUAUACAUCAUUUGCGUGAUUUGGUAUCGUGUCAAAUGAUGGCAUGGUUGCACACCAAUGAGACAUGACCAAUUCCCGAGACGACUCUCCAGCAUCACACUCGUGUGUGACCAACGCCACCAAUGCUCACAACCCCACAGAUCUUAUCACCGCUGUGAUUUUUGUUUUUCGACUAAAAGCAGUUUUAGUCAAAUUUUUAUCAUGAUAUCAAUCUUGAAUUCACAAAUAUUUUUCGAACGAAUUAGCAGAGUCGAAAGAACAAUCAAGGAGAUGAUGGAGUUCUCAUACCGAGUGACCGGCCUUGUACCAAUCACCGAUGAGGAGGGUGAAGUCAUCGGCGGGGGUGGCGAAGGGCACGGGGAUGCGGGGCCUGCUCAGGAUCCGGAUGCCCCCGAAGCCGCCGGCCGCCUUGUGGAAGGCCAAGGACGGGAAGUAGAAGAAGCUGCCGAUUUGGUCCUUGAGAUGCAUCACGUAAGUGAAGUUCUUCCCGGGUGGGAUGGGGCAGUUGGUCCCCGAGACGCCAUCUUGCCAUGAGUUCCCUCUUUGCUGCACCCCGUUCCUGCUUCCCGAAUCAGAGAACCUGGUCAGCUUGCCAUCCUGCCAUUCGUUUACCUCCGCAGCAAACAUUUCCAGCUACGUAAACUCCAUUAGCUACCAAUCGAGGACAAGGACUGAAGGGCAAGUUAGCAUGAUUUCCGUAUGGCCGAUACAUUGAUGGCGUCCCCUUUUUAGCUUUAGGAAGUGGGCUACUAUAUCCUAAUUAGAAAAUAGACAGCAUCAAUAGCUCCGGAAUCAUCAGUAAGCGACCCAAAGUGCUUAUUCUUAGAAGUGCAUGACUGCGUACUAAGAGAACUCAGUUUACCAUAUCGAUUUCUUUCGGUUCCAUGAAUGUUUAUAGCUUCGAGUGUUCAGCUCAGUCCAUUAAUUCUCUUUCCAAUAACCAUUUAUGCAUUUCUAUAUGCAUGGGCAACAAGUUUGAGCCUUUUCUACAAGGACUAAGAGUUAAAGAGCAACAUAAUUUAGGUGACCAUAUGGGACAAUAAGAUUCUGGUCUUUUGCACUUAAUCCAUUGCGAAAGCGACAUGAAUGACCUCUUUGUUUCGUUGCGAUGCAAAUGUCUUGAUCAUUAAUACGAAAAGCUAUGAUGAACUUCCGAGGAGGAGGUCCUUUCGCAUGCACAUGAGAGAGAGAGAGAGAGAGGAAGAGGAGACUUGCCAUGAGAUGAGAAAGGGCUCUGUCAGGCUGUUGUAUACGUUUACGAUAAUAUUGUCGUUGGUCUGUGAAUGGAUAUCCGGCCCUGGGAAUUGCCCAUUGAUCAGUAUCCCCUGUGUUCAUUCGGAUCGAUCCACCCAAGAAAAGGAAACGUUGAACCACAAAUCUUGGCGAUGUUGAUAGAAAGGGGGAGAGAGAGAGAGGAUAAAGAACAGCACAGAGCACCUGCUGCCGGAUUCCCAGAGGGUAGAUAUCUCCGAACGUGACGUUCCAAUCGAAGAACCUGUACGGGUCCUCAGCACCAACAAGCAUGGCCAAGAAACAACAACCACAUAAAAGAACGACAGUCGCCUUGCCCGAGGCCAUCGAUUGAUCUGAGAAGGGUCUGAAAUGGAAGGCGAAGCGACCGACUCUGAGCUUUUACUCAACUUCACAUCUUAUACGUCUCUACUCGAUGUAUGGAGACUGGCAAAGACAGGAUGUGAACAGGAAGAAGAUGGGUUUUGUGUGAGCGUGGGUUGUGGUGGUGAUGGAAACUUUUAGUGCAAGGGAAGUAUGCAAUCUUGUGAAACAACGCCAAGUUGCCCAGUGGGGGUACUCAAUAAGGUAUCAGCUCAAUUAGUGUUCUCGAGAUGCACCCCUUUGAAAUGAACUGAACGAACUGUAGGGAAAAGGUUUGUAAUUAUUGUCUCUGUGAAUUCCAUAUAUAUAAUGUUUUUGAAAGGAUAUCUUAUAAUAUAAAAUAAAUAAUUUAAUUAGAUUUCAUCACUCUUCAUAUUAAUGGAAGCACAAAAGUAGAUUGAUAGAAGAUAUUAUUCCUUAAUGCUUAAAUCAUGACAAGAGAACCCAUAUAAUUUUUUUUUUUUCAGUUUUAUCAAAAGAUGUCUAUUUUUUUGGUUUUUCUCAAAAAAUAACCCUCAUUAAAAAAAUAUUCAGAAUACCUCUCACGAAUUCUUCCUAUAAAAAAUUUUCAUCAAUUUUUUCAACCGUUACAUUAAUUUUAUUUGACUUAUUUAUAUUUUUAAUAUCAUUUAAUAUUUUUAUUAAGAUAUUAAAAUUAUUAUAAAACUAUUAAAAAUAUUGUAAGUGGCAGUAUAUUCUGUUUCUUUGGUUAUCAUCGGUAGAUUAUUACAAUAUCAUAUUUUUAGGGUUGUAAUUAAUUUGAUUAAGAUUAGGAAUCUAUUCGGGUCAUUUAUAAUAUUUUUAUUAUGGUGAUCAAAAUCCUAAAUUAUUAUAAAUACCUAUUUGAAUUAUAGUAUGAUGUAUCAAAUACUUGUUAAUGUGUUUUGAUUCUAUUUGACCCACUUACAAUAUUUUUCAAUAAUAUUAUAGUAUUUCUAUGAACUUAUAAAGAUAUUGAAAAACAUCUUUAGUUAUUUUGCACGUAGAUGUAUCAAAUUUUUAGAUUUGAAAUUAGUUUGAUUGAUGUUACGAGUCUAUUUAUAUCAUUUAUAAUGCUCCCAAAUAGAUUUUUGUUGUGGUGGUCGAAACACUAUUACGACAGCAGGGAUAGUGCCGUAGAAAUGAUUUUAAUGACACAUAUCCGGAUCUAAGUAGUUUUGUCACUACUACUGUUGGACUUACACUAGAAAUGAAGCUUGCAUUUCGUUAGCAAUGGCUUUGAUUCUUUUUGAGCAACGAGUGGGAGAAGUGGUGGGUUUCAUCACUAAGAAUUCUUUUGCUUUCUUCUGAAAACUCGUAGGAUUUAAGUAGCAAAGAGUGUGGAAAUGGUUCCUAUUUACAUGAGUAAUAGAUCACUAGGGGUUCUCUUGUCAUGAUUUAAGCCAAGUUCAAAUCCUAGUAGUUUUAUUUCCAUUACAUAUAAUGAUGCAGAAUAUACGUGACAAAUAUACAUUAUGUAAAUAGAAAGUUUUUGACUGUUUUUUCGUUAUUCAUCUUCUGAAAAAGAAAGAGAUAUUAUUCGAACCAUUUGCAUUUCUAACUCAUAUUAAAUGGUUAAUUUAGUUAAUCAGUCAAGAAUAUGAUCCGAGUGGAUAAUAGUUAAAUUAUGAUGAGAGAAAAUAUUAUUGACGUUUUAGUUAGUCUGACGUGAUCUGGACCCACAUGCACAGGGUUGUCCAAGGUGAAAACGUCGAGCUCCCGAGGUAUCACGUACAUGAAGACUAAGGUCAAGAGAGGUUUUUCAACCUAAUCAUUCAACGUUCAAGUUAGUAAUCCAAAAUCUUUGAGUGUGGACAUGAGCAGUAAAAAAAAGGUAAAUUUUUUUUAUUAUGUUAAGGAUAUAUUUUUAUAUUUAGUCGCAAAUGGACAAAAUAUUCCACGGGAGUAACAUAUUCAAUAGAAUAUUCUGUGGACUCUUGUCCAUGUUGACAGACGAAUGGAAGGUGACCUGGAUCUCAUGUGACGAUUACGUGUCAAAUGAUGAUUAACCGACAUUAUACUCCUUAUUAUUUGUCCCCCUCCCUUCGAAGAUAUGCUUCGGAGCUCUUACGAGAGUAGCUCGAAUUGCGACGUUUAGUUUAUUCAAUACAAGAGCGUUUGAUAUCUUCUCUUAUAAGUCAGGUUUUCCCAACUCACGUGUCUUGAGCAUAUUUUACUCUACGCUUCUGUCAUAUUAACUUUCAUCUCAUACGAAUCAGAUUUUUCUAACUCAUAUCUUUCAGGCACAUACAUUACUAAUAAUUAUUUUAUUAAUUAAUAAGCUAAAAUAAUGGAUUGAGAACAUAUGAUAUAAUGUGUCUCCGUCAAGACACACAGGUAUACCAACAUUUUCUAGAGUUUAAGGUAGCUACCAUUUUAUGAAUAGGAUUAGGGCCUCAAUUCCAUUGAUUAAAAAUUAACUACUCCAUGAAUUUUGUUUAAGAUGCUUAAGAAACUCUUAUAAAAAUAACCAUACAGACUGAAAUAUACAUCGAGCGAAUCAAAAUAUAAACAGUUUUAUCAACGUAGAAUACAUGGUUUUCAUCUCUACAGCAAAAAAUUAAUGGUCUAUCUUUUUCGAUAGAAUGACUUAUAUAUAUAUAUCAUAAAUUCAUGCACCAAUGCUUUCACAUUAUUUAUUGUGUGUUGGUUUAUUUGAUAAAUACAGAAAAUAUUUUCAAACUAUAUAAAUUAUAAUUUUAAAAUAUUUUAACAUCAUAAAUCAUGUCUGAUAGAAAAUAUUUGUGUGAAGAGAGAUUAACGGAAUAAUCUUAUAUUAAUAAUAUCGAGAGAUAUAUUCAAUCUAAAAACUUAAAAUUUUAGAUUGAAUUAUGUUUGAUUCGAUAUGUGUUAAUAUAUGUUAACCAAAUCAACGAACUACGGGGAAACUGCGAUGCCUUGACACCCAUGUCUUGUCCAUGUUGGGUUGGAGAGAGGGCGAGGCAUGUGCACGCCAGCGAGAACACUUCAAUUGCUCAUGUUUGUGGUUGAUGAGAGCGAUGGCACAACUUCUCCUCGGAGGGAAGCUUACUAUGCUUUGUUCUUGGCUACCAUAUGGCCCAGGCUUUCAAUGAAGGAUGAGGAGGGGUUGGCGGAAGCUUCCCCGAAGCCACUCAUUGAUGGUCCUUUGAUACCAUUGGUUGAGUCUUUUUAUGACUUCAGUGCAGUUUGAGCUGGAAAUUUUGUGUCUGUGAGAACAGUGGCAUUGCUGACAUGAAUAUGCUGUUUGGAUAAGGUAAAGAUGGACCUACAGUGUGCCGAAGGGUUCUGUAGCUCAUGUGCUUGUUCUUUCUUUUGUUGGAUUUGGAAUUGCUAAUAGAUUUUUAUUGUUCGCUAGUAUGCAUAUAUGUAUUUGAAAACAUGUUUGUUUUUUUUUUUCAAACAAAAAAAAAAUUAUUACGCUAAUUUGUUAAAAUCUUUCACUUGCGAAUAGACGAAUAUUUUUUUUAAAAAAUAUUUGUUCAGAAGCUACGUUUGUGAUAUCUUCCUCUAAUCCCAUGUCCGAAGAGAGUGAAAAUAUAAAUUGACUUAUAAGAAUACGAUGAACAUGAAAGUAAUGAUUAGUUUAGUUGAUAAAGAUUUUGAAUCUCUCCAUCCAGUCAACAAUAAAAAAAAUAAUGGUGUAAAAGUUUUCGACAAAAUAAAUUUUUCGAAGAAAAAAAAGAGAAAUAUAUAAAAUGAUAAGUACAAUCCACUUCAUCGAAAUCAAGCUUAAACAAUAGUAUGUUGAUCCCACUGCCAUUAACCAUCAAGUCCUUCACACAAGAGCUUUACAAAAGUAAGUUCAAGAAGCAAUAGGGACAUCCAAAACAAAAUGAUCACAAGAUUGGUCAUUACCAACUAAAUACAAGAAAAAAGGAUCUAAUUAUUACCAAAGAAAUACAAGAAGCCAGGCUUCAAAAUCUGAAAAGCCCUAACGAAGACCCAUCCCAACUCCCAGUUGGACUUGGGAGGAUAGUGAGGACUCAAAAAGCAAAGGCUCCCGUACUUGGCCUUUGACAACCUUGAAAGCAAAUGGACAACCAACUUCUGCUGGUGGGAAAUCUCUGUACAUGCGACACACGAUUCAGUAGACGGAAACAUUUGUGCUUCUACGACGCUAUUAUUUGUUGCUGGUGACAUCCGGGAUGAACCAGCCUGCACCGGUCUGCAUCGAUGAUGGAGGCAAGCAAAGCCCUCUCCACAUCUCCGGACAUGCGUCUACCGAGCAAGGAGAGGAUGUACUCCAUGGAAACCGCGCUGCACGCCAACGUGAUCGGCCCAUCGCCUGGUAGUCCAAACUCCUCCUCCGACACCCUUAGUAGCUCCUGAAAUAGACGGCUCUUGAGGAACGCCAAUGGGACUAUGAACCUCGCAUCGUCCACAGUGUACACCACAAAAUGGCCCUUCUCAGCGACCACUGUCGUGCAAGCGCUGGAACUGGGAGCUCUCAUCAACGGGAAACCCCUCUUUGCCUUCUCGACAAGCCUCUUGGGACUCAACAUGGUUAACCGGGCUGAACAAGCACUUUUCUCCGGCAAACAAACCCUUAGACCGAUGGAAAAGCCUUGGAUGUGCUUGGGAUCACCAAACGUAGUCCUCUACUUAUAUUGAAGAGGAAGCACCUCAGUCCAGAUCUGUAUCUUUCAAACGUUGCAUUGCAAGGGGAGCAAAGCCAUGUGGGAGCUUGCAAGAGGAUGUAAAUGUGACAGCUAUAUGUUUAGAUUUGGUUGGACGAUUCCUUUAUGUGGUCGGAUAAUGUGUUCGUGGUUAGCAGUGUAGCUCCUCCCUUUCCUUCUGGGAGAUCUGAGGACAUGUAGGUCCAUGGGGUUAUCCUCGAAAAGAUCCUGAACCAACCUAAUGAAAUGUACACCCUACUGGUACCUUCAUCGUCUCUUGGUUUCUAGAGAACAUGUAGUUCCUUCUUGAACUUGCAUUAGAACCCAAAACACGUUCCUUUACCUUCUUACGGUCAGCCACUACGUGAUCCUACACACCAUCUCAGUAGCUUCUUCGUAAUUGUUGCGGAACUCGAUCGUUUUUGUUCGUGACGUUUGGCCAUUUGGCUCUCGCGAGUGCUACGGAUGUGCUUCUUUUGUUCUUGCAGUGUAGGGGAUGCAUGACAGUAAUGACAAGCGAGCGGUCGCCGACGGGCUUUCGUUUAGGUUUCGCUUUCAGCAGGGCACUUUGUCUGUCUGGUGAUGGCAAUUGCUCUGCUGACUCGUGAACGCGAACAGCAUGGACCGACAAACGCGCCCGAGGCUGGUGGUAUAGCUUCCACGGUCGUCAUGGUUGUUCUAUCUGCUAAUGGCAUUUAUUGACAUGUCACGUAUAUGUUCCUCGGUAGCAAAGAUCUCUUGAAUGGUUUCUGGACGUGUUCUUACACGUCCUCUUCUCAAGAACAGUUUUACCAGUGUAAGCUUACGUACAUCGUAAUGAAAAUUGAAAAUGCAGUCCUCAUCGGACGUUGACACCAUGCACUUUGUCACCUCCAUUUCAGCACUACAUCUAGACAACACCUAUGAGGAAGAUAAGACGCAUCACGACACUUGGGUUGAUUAGAUUUGUCUGCGGCUGGCAGCUUUAGAUCCCUAGUUUCUUUCGAGUGAUCUGAAGACAUGUAGGCUCCAUGCCAUUGGUCAUCUUAAAUGGAUUUCUUAGUUGACCUAACAAUAUGGGCAUCUAAGUGGUUCUUGACUGUUGGAUUCUUGCCCAUGAUCUUUGGAAAAGUUCCGUAGGUUCUUCAACAUCUUCGUAUAUAUUAACUGGAGCUCUUCCUCAAUUACUCUACAGAAAAAAGUGGAAAUCCCACUUUUUGGCAAUCAUCCAAUGAUGUACUCUUGGAGAACAAUGAUCGACACAAAUUUAUUCUUGUCAUGCAGAUAUCGUACAAGUGGAAACAUCCAAUUUGAACUCACUUUUAGAAAGGCAAGACAGCUAUAUUUGAAUCAUAAUUGAGACAGUCACCUUAGGAUCCUGAAUUAUAUGUAUCUGCUUUUACGCAUCAUGGCAUCAUAUCCAAGUGAUAGAUUAUAUAGUCUUUUGGAAGACAAUCGACAAAGUUCUUUCUUGUAAUGCUGAUAUUGUGAUAUCAUUUCAAGAUCAUUCAUCUUCUUGUAUGCAUGAAAUGGUGCUUGACAUCAGAAUCACGACUUUCUAGGAAGCAAGAUCAUGUGCUUCCUGGUGAGAAGAUUAAUUUCUGCAUUUAUGCUGAUGUCGGGCCAUUAAUCUUUUGUGAGUGCUACGAAUGUAUUUUCUUUUGUCCUUGGUGGUGUAGGAAUGCAUCAAGAACAUCAUCAUUCUAAUGAUCGAUGAAGCUUUCAAAGAACCAUGAACCUACGAUCUGCUGCUUAAGGUUCUGUACCUUGCGUAGCUGUCAUUGACGUUGACAGGAUAUUGCUGUCUUCUCUUCUCAAUAACAUCUCCCAAAUGGAGUUAUUUGUGAUCAACAUUCGCCCACAUUUUUUUGGAUCGAAUACUUGGAAUCUGUCAGCUAAGACAUACUUCUAACCUUCUUUCUCUUAAUGCAUGGAAAAGGAUUUUAGUUGGAAAAUGAUGAAAUCAUGUUGAAGGCUACUGUUUCAUCAAUGGCACCAACAAUGUCAGACUGAGAUAUUAUCCAUACUAACUCAUCGACUUUAAGGUUCUCUGUCUUGAAAAAGAAUGUAUACUUCUCUUAAGCUGCAAGCUUAGAUUCUGAAGGUCUCGACAGGUACAUGUGAUCUCUACCUUCGUUCUUCGAAGCUGCAAUAGUACUGGGAAAUUGUCAAAGAUGAUAGCUUGGGGUGGUGGACCGCAUGCAUGAUCGUUGAUCUGCUACAUGCAUCUUUUUGACCGAAGCACAACAAUCACAAAAGACGCAUAUACAAAUCGAACAAUCUCUGCGCUACCUCCCCAUCCUUUUUGCACAAAGUUUUCAUUCAGUCAUGUAGAGGACCACAACAUACGCUUUGCAUGAUGAGGAAUCAAUGUAGAAAAGAUAAGAGUAGGACUCGAGGCAUUUCAUUGUCCUCGUUCAACCCUUUCGGCGCACUGUUCUCGACCACGCAAUCGCUUCUCAUCAGUUCAAAGCCUGGGCCAACGUGCUAUGCUGAUGAUCAAAGGAGAACUUAGACCAAGUUCAUGGCCCUCUUCCACAACCCCGAGAAAAAUCAUUCUGAGAAAUGCCAUUUGGCAUUACUAGUAUAUCCAUUCUAGUUAGUAGUCUUAGCAUUUGUUUUUGCCAAGCAUAAUUAAAACUUGCUCACAGCAGAAAUGUUGACAAAUCAUGCUUAGCAGAAACAUGCUUCCGUCGAUUACUGAGCUAAGCUAGCAAGAAUCAUUGCAAAAUGUUCCAGAAACAGACAAUACAAGCUAAAGUAGAGAGGAAGAGUGUGAUCUGCACUCUACAGGGGGCAACUCCUCUCGCGAGCAGUAGCUACAACGCCGACUCUGUUUUGACAAACGCAAGAGAAGAGAGAUUAUCCUGUCAAGGGCUGACGCUUAAAGAGAAAAGCGAAAAGGACUGCUGACUACGAUUAGCACUUGUAGCUUCCAUAUUAUUAUCUCGUCAAUUCUAGAGGCAUUUGUUUUCUCAUCUCCAACUGCUUUGGACCGACUACUUCACGUCGUCCAUUAGAUUUCACCCAUGGAAAGAUACCCAAGGAACAAUUAAAACAUGGUUCUGAGAAGAUGCCGAAAGAGAUUGAUACUUCAUGCAUGGGUCUGCUCUUCUCUUCUGACAUAUGGCUGCAGGACCAGUUGAUGGGCGCGUGCAUCGGUCAGUUUCCUUUCUAAUAUUCUUAUUGUUCUACACUCAUCUUAUUGGACUGUUCUGCCCCAAGAUCUGGCAACCCAGUCGUCUCCUCUGCCUCGCCUCUAUUUGAUCAGAAGAAGGGAACUUUCCUCCAUCUCCUCUCUGAACACCAACAUGGGUUGUGACUCUGUCUGCUUGAUUUUUGUUCUCUUCCUUCUUCCCUGCUCUGCUAUGGCUUGUGACAGGUGUGUACAUCAAGCCAGGGCUGGCUACUCCUCCUCCUCUGCUUUCUCUGGUAUGUUGCAGCACUGCAAACUUGUGCUUCUUUAGUUCAGUGCUCCAAAGCAGAAGAGGUUUUAUCCGGUUCGAUCGGUUUGUCCUUACAGUCGGAGCUUGCGGAUAUGGUUCCUUGGCUUUGGGCUUCAGCGGAGGCUAUGUUGCUGCUGCAGGCUCUUCUCUUCACAGAGGUGGUAUUGGCUGUGGAGCAUGUUUCCAGGUUAGAUUCACAUGCAAUUCCACGUAAAACUUAUUGCUCUUGUCAAUCAUAUAAUCACUCGUUUUAAGCAGGUAAGAUGCAAGAACACGAAGAUAUGCAGCAGCGGAGGUGUCAAAGUGAUCCUUACGGACCUCAACAAGAUCAGCGACACCGAUUUGGCUCUCAAUAGGCCGGCUUAUGCAGCCAUGGCACGAUAUGGGAUGGCCAAAGAGCUGAAGAAACUGGGCAUCGUAGAUGUGGAAUACAAGAGGUAGUGAGUUGAAUGUUGGAUGUCAGAGUUGUGGUCAGACAUGCAUAUAUUGUUUCUCGCAACAUGGUAGCCACUGUUGUUUCUGAAUCGGAAACUUCUUCUUGUUUGCUGUGAUCAGGAUUCCAUGUGAGCACAACAAGAACUUAUCCAUUAGAGUGGAAGAGAAAAGCCAAAGCCCGAACUAUCUGGCCAUCAAGGUCCUGUAUCAGGGAGGUCAGACUGAUAUAGUAGCAGUGGACGUGGCACAGGUAGUAAAAAGGCUCACAAGAACCAAUUGAACCGGAGUACUAAUGCUACGCGUUGGGUCCACAGGUGGGAUCGUCGGAUUGGCAAUUCAUGAGCCGGGAAUACGGACCUGUGUGGAGCACGAACCGGGCGCCUCCGGGGCCGCUACAGCUCAGAAUGGUGGUCACCGGCGGCUACGACGGGAAGUGGGUUUGGUCUCAGGAGGAGGUCCUGCCGGUCGACUGGAAGACCGGGUCGGUUUACGACUUGCGGGUUCAGAUCACUGACAUCGCUCAAGAAGGCUGCUUCACCUGUGACGCAAAAGACUGGUAGUGAUGCACGCUCGAGCUCCCUCGUUUCAAAAGAUUCGAUAGGCUAAUUAUAUGUUUCUGCUAACCACAGAUCAUAUGUUUCUGAUGAUAAAGAAUAAUAUAUACAACCUCCCUGCAAACAUGAAGAGUGCAUGAAGAAAACAACCAGAGCCAUAACGCAAGUUAAUUUGCAUCUGCUUCUGAUAGUGGGUGAUGAACAAUAUGAUCUCUUUGCUAACUUCAGGAGGGAAUGGUUGCCAAGAAAUCAGAGAAGACACAUAAAUGAGCCAAAACGAAAAGAAAAUAAGUUCAUGCAUGUACAUAAAGAGAGUAAUAGUAUCUCAUUCAUGUACCUCUCAACAAUAUAAAUGAACAAAAAAUUGUAUUCUCUCUUAUUUCACGUUUGAACCAUAAUGUGUCGAUGAUGUAUAUACGCUAUAAAUGGAAGUAGUAGUACAGUAGUUAGAAGCCGGGAGUGAGAAUGUUGAGGAGGGAAACACGGGUGUUGACGAGAGUCCUAAACACCAGCUCGCUACCCUUCUCCAUCUCUGCCAUGCAAUCCUCCAAUUCCACCAACCUUUCCAACGCCCCCAUCUCCUCCUCCUCGUCCUCCUCGUCCACCUCCACCUCCUUGCUCUUCUCUGUCCCUCCUCCCUUCUUCAACAGCUUCAACCUCGCCCUCUCUCUCCACCUCAUCACUGCAGCCACCCACGUGCAUGUCGGCGGCAAAGCAGGUGUAGCCAUCGUCGUGGAGGCCGAUAGAGCUGCGACUCCAUUGAAGACCGCUGCCGAGGUUGCAGCCGUUACUGUGAUCACCUCUUUCAUUACUUUGGCCAGCUCCGCCUCCUCUUCGUCUGCAGAGCCCGUGAACAGCGGCGGCGACCGUCCGACGACGCGAAUUAAGGAAGCCAGCUUGAAUAGCUCUUUCUCAACCCGGCGCUGCGAGCGGAGGCAGGAGGAGAGACGAAGCCCGUCGUUUCGGCGGCGGAGGGCGGCGCGGGUGGCAGAGAGGCGGUGCUUCAGGUCGAGAGCGGCGGAGCGGAAGGAGGCGUGGGCAUCGGCGAGGCGGAGCAGGUCGUCGAGGAGGCGGUCAGCUAGCCGAGAGUAGCGGCGGCGUCGUCGGAGUGGGUCCUGAGCCUGGGGAAGGCCGAGGAGGUCGGGGAGGGCUGCGAGGAGGAGCUGGACGCGCACGAGUCCGUCUGAGAGCGAGGCGGGAGAAGGGGACGGGCACCAGGAGCGGAGGGCGCAGAGUUCGGGGCGGAGGUGGUCGGCGAGGGGGUGGAGGCGAGCGGGCAGGCUGACGGAGCGUGCUCUGAAGGAGAGCUCCGCAGCGCCUCGGGCGGAGCGGUGGCAGGGUUGGCUGAAGGGGUGGGGUACGGCUGAGAAGGAGAUGGAGCGGCGGAAUCCGAUCCCCGCCAUCCUUCUCUUCAUUUCCUCCAUAUCAGGCCUCAUGUCUCUUUCCUCGACGAUGGUGAUGACGACGAUGGGCUUCGUUGGAUUUAUACAAGAGAGGGAGGUUGUGCAUUUGAUGCUUCCAAACUAGCUUUAAACACGUCGGUGUAGGGGGUGGAUCCGACGAGCAUCUUCAAAACGCCCGAGGCUGGCGCUGUGGACGGAGCUUUCACGUGGAAAUCACAAGUAAUAGAGGAGAUUCCACCUGGUGCUCAUGCACCUCCGCCCAUCCACGGUCGGCGGCAUCAGCGAGAAAUGCUUCACAUUUCCCGACCCAAAUCACAAUCACGACUCACGUGGCAGGUGCAUCGUAGGUCAACAUACGUACCCAAUCGGAAGCGCCACGUGUCCCCCGCACUCUAUGCUGAGCUGGAAGAAAUAGUCUAUCCGGAAAUAUCAGAAAAAGAAAGAUACAAAACAAAAAUGGGUGUCGAUGCGACGGAAUCGACGGCGGCAAAUCUAGAGGGAAACUUUCCCACGUCAUAAAUGCCACUGUACAGCUAUGUUUAAACUCCUUUAAAGAACCAAGUGUCCAGUGUUGAACACCGAUCAGGAAACAUCGAGGAGACAGGAGGCGCGUAGAUUUCUCUGAUCUACAGCUACUUGAUUAACUAAUUAUAAUAUAUUUUUCUCCAUUAUAAUACAGUAAAUACUGUAGAAUUUUGUACAUCUCAGAUUAGAGUAAUACAGUAAAUACUUUCUCAUGGCCUUAUUUGUAAGAGAGCAAGCACCAAUUAAUCACAUUGUGGAUCUAAAAAACUGAUCUAAUCUGAUCAGAUCAGAUACACACUUCUCAUGAACAAUGUUGGGUUCGGCCAGGCUCGGAUUAGAGACAUCUUGGUUCGGUCCAGGCCCGGUCCAUUUACAACGCUAAUUUUGACUACGUCAAGUGCCGCAUGCCUGCCAUGACAUGUAAAUUGCAUGUCGCAGAAAAUGAAACAUAAUAUGGAUGAUGAACAUUGCAUGUAGCUAAAUCUUCUUAUUCUUGUUUGUUAAGUAGCAUCUGCUCUGCCCAACCGGUAGCCUAAUAACGCCGGUGACCAAAGAACAUAGGCGAUAGGAUGGAACGAGGGCGGACAGCACUCCCAUCUCUGUCAGCGUGCGCAACGCAACAUCAACGUCGAUGGGGUACGCUCGCUGAUGCGCUGUCGCACGGCCACCCGCAGUCUGCAGCGAGCACAGCGGCUGCAGGCGACACCCGCACUGCCCAAGCCGCAGCAGUCUCAGCUCCACCAACGCAACGCUCCUUCGCCUGCCCCCGCCACCGUCUCUGUUCUCUGCUUCCCAGAUCACAAAAGCGGCUUUGUUUGCGUGUCGGCCCCAGCGGCGCGUACGGCACAUCUUGCCACAGCCUGUACACGAUCAUACGCAAGCCACCAAUGAUUGGCCACUGCGAGGGGGUUUCACGGAUCCCACCUCCUAUUCUCUUCUCUCCCACCGCCAAACCCGUCACUGCUCUCUUUUCUGCAAGAAUGGUAAAGCCAAAGUUGGACAUCAAGCAUCGACUGGCUGCACCCAUUCGCUACUCUCAGCUCACCUCACCUCACCUCAAUACCAGAAGCUUGUCACAAAGCUUCAUUUAUAGACAGCACCUCACACAGAGACUGCAGGCUGGAACAAUAGCAGCCCCACAUGGGAGAGACACUUAACAGGAGGUUCUUCAGGUGAGUCAGAAUAGAAACAGGAAUGAUUCGGUGAUGGCUGCGUCAUCGUCGUCCGCAGCUAAAGUUCUUGCUGCGCAAUAUUAUUUCAGCCCCCAGUAACCGUUACUGUUCAAAGGCCAUAGCUCAGCUCGACCAGUAGUAAAACAUUGACGGUGGAGUGAGCCAAGUGGUGGCUGGAAACUUGGUUCAAACCUGGCAGUCUCUGAGCCUUCUCUUCCCUAGAAGACUAGAAGCAAGAGCGUGGAAGUUUACCAGUCCCUGCAAGCACCCCAAUAGAGCGAGGACUAGUCUGGCGACAUCUUUAAUCUCCGCUGGGUUUCUAGUUUUUCCCAUUUCAUUUCUUAUCUUCAGCAAGAUCAAGAACAGGUUCUUGUCUCGGAGGGUAAGAGCUGAUGAGCCAAUUUGUACAUCGUCGGGUUGUUCUUUUUUCUCUUUCACAUGGCACAAGCACUGGUACUUCGUUAUUCCAGGCCCUGAUUUUGACGUGAAGACUUUUCUUUUCUUUUCUUCAACUAUGAUUCGGGGGGAUUAAGGAUUAAAAAAAGUGUCGAUCCAAUGCAUUGGGGUCAUGCCGAGAUGUAGGCAACUCAACCACUCGAUCUUGACAAGAAAAAACAGUUCUUCAAGGGAAUUAUUGAGCAAGCUAAACUUCAACAUCAAGCAUGCUACAUUUGACAGAAUUUUUUUGAAUUUGUGGUUUUUGGAAGUAGAAAACUUUCUUCCAAAAACUUCGGAAACACAAAAAAAAAAGAAUAUUUGCAGAUCCCGUAACAAGGGGCUCAUGAUCUGUGAGUUUGAGUUUUCCUUGUUGGUAAUUAACAUCUGUGACCACCAGAGUUGCAUAUGAUGCCGAUAAGGGGUAAGCAACAGUAGCUGCAGGUACUCCAAAUACGUUUUUCUUUGUUAUGUCGAUGCUUGGUCAUUCAAAGGAAUGGACUGAGAGAAGAGGCAUAAUAACUUGUACAAGUCCAAACUCCUAUCAGAGCAAGAGGAGAGGAAUAAAGAAGGAAGCACGCAGAAGCAAGCAAAGAGAGAGAGAGAGAGAGAGGAAGGAGUAGAUCAGUAGAACUCUCCCUCGUCACGUUACCACUGUAAAGCGACUCUUUUUUUUUACCGUUCUCUUACGGUUUAACUGAUGCAUAUUAUAGGGGUAUAAAGAGGAGAGAAGAAGUUUCCAUCGAGAAAGGAGAAGCUUUUCGUAGUCGCCGUCGUCGUCACUGGUGGUGAUGGGGUGCUGCAAUUCCUCCCUCCUGCCAGAGAACCACCCGGUGGAGAAGCGGAGCCACCAGAGCCUGCAGCAGCAGCAGCGCCGUCCGUCCUUGUCGCUUCAGGCGGCGGUCGAGGGCAGCGGGCGAGAGGUGCCGGCCUUCGCGCAGUUCUCGCUUGCGGAGCUCAAGGCGGCGACCAACGGGUUCAACCCGCAGAACGCCGUCUCGGAGAGCGGCGACAAGGCCCCUAAUGUCGUCUACAAGGGCCGGUUGCAGAGCCGCCGGUGGAUCGCCGUCAAGAAGUUCGCCAGAACCGCAUGGCCCGAUCCCAAGCAGUUCGCUGUUAGCUUCUUCCCCCUUCAAUUUUUGUUCUAAUUCCGCCAUGCCUUGCUGUUUCUGGAUCACCAGGAAGGAGAAAAAUGUUGUUUUGUUGGGAUUUACAGGAGGAGGCGUCGGGAGUGGGGAAAUUGAGGCACAGGAGGCUGGCGAAUUUGAUCGGAUACUGUUGCGAUGGCGAAGAGAGGCUUCUUGUGGCCGAGUAUAUGCCCAAUGACACCCUUGCUAAGCAUCUCUUCCACUGUAUGUAUGCCCAGUUCUAUGUUUCUCCCUGAUCUGAAUUGCGAAGCACUGCUAGUUAUUGUACCUCUUGAACUGGAUAUUGCUGUUACACAUUGGGGAACCUCGCCUUCUAUUAGCAGCUACAUGAAGUUGCAAAGUCAUUCUUCGGUUUUGGAGUUGUGUGUUUGUCAUGCUUCCUUCUGCCUGUAGCUGAAUUUUGAUUUGGCAACCCCCUUUUUCUGAAUUUGGUUAACUAGUACAAGAUUGCCAAGUAUGAACUUUGUGCAUUAUGGUAGAAAAGGUUGAGUGGCUUGUCAAAAUUGGAAAUACCAACUUUUGUUGAUAGAGUAAUAGAUCUAUGUAAAUUGAUCCCCAUGACAAUUUGGAAAAGUGACAUGGUAUCUCUGUGCUUUUAAGAAGUAGAAAUAGCAAAAGAUUAAUUUCAAAUGCAAGCAAAAUCUGAUGCAUUUGUUUUUUUCUGUAUGGUAAACAGCAACUAAGAAAUAUUUGGCUAUUUCUUGUUAACUAGAUAAAGUUGAUUAAAAAAAUUUGAUAAAUGACAAAUGAGGAGGCUUCUUGGAAUGAGAGAAAUAACUGAAUUCUUCAACAUCUUGCAUCUUAUGUAAUCAAUCCUCAUAUGUUACGAAUCGUUACAGUUCCUUAUUAUAUUUCUUCAAUAUAAAAUAAUUAUGCAGGGAUAUGGAAUCUUGUUUGUUUAUCAUAGUUUUCUGGACAGGGGAAAAACAAACUAUUGAAUGGGCCAUGCGUUUGAGGGUUGCUUUCUAUAUUGCUGAAGCCUUGGAGUAUUGUAGCAGUGAGGGACGGCCACUAUAUCACGACCUAAAUGCCUACAGAGUCCUUUUUGACGAGGUCGCACAUCUCUUUCUUAUCAAAUCAUCCUUUUCAUUAGUAACUGGAAUACUGAUAUUGUAGGUUGACCUGUCUGAAGGGUAUUUUUGGUUGGGCAUCAGCUGUGAUUCUCUUAUAACGUAAAAUGUUGCUGACACGAGCAUGUUACUCUAUAUGAAUAAUCAUUCAACUGUAUGGCAUGUUCACUCCAUGGACCUUCUUAUUUUGUAAAUUUGUACACUGUAACCAAGUUGAUGUUGCAGAGACGAGCAUGUUCCAUCCUAUGAAAAAUUCUUGCAACUUAAUUGCAUUCUUCAUUCUAUGAUGCUUCUUAUUUUGCAAACUUAUGCACAGAAAAUAAGAUGUUGGUUUUUGUUAGAUUAUGUUGUGAACUUUGUUAUUGUUUUUCUAAUUGAUAAAGUCAAGAGCGAACCCUUUGUGGUAAGGUUGCUCCCUUUACUCAAUGGAGAUCAGGGUCGAGUCAAUAUGGAAUAAAACUUCUAUAACUAAAGAACUAAUCUUUCAGUGUGACAAAACUUUCAAGAUCUGUCAAAAAGCUUUCUUUUACUAGAUUCUCUAUCAAGGUUAAACUCUGGAUAUGAAAUGUUAAAUCUGUCAGCUUUCAGCAAAGAAUCAGAGUCAUGUUGGUACUGGUUAGCUAAUUGCUUCGGUAUGUUUUACAAAAAAUUGGUGCCAUAUUUAAUAUACACUGACAGAAAAAGCUACUGAGCUCCAGAAAACCAUUCAAAACUACCAACUCUAAUGUAUGGUGAUCUCUGCAUGUCUAGGAUAAAGCAAUAUUAAAUUCAUUUAUACAUGUGUAACCAGGUCGUCAAAGGUGCAAAUUCACAAUCAGAAAUUUGGGCAGAAUUGACCCAAAUUGUAUGAUCUAGUGACUCUGUUUCCGAGGAAAAGGAACAUUUUUUAUUUCUCUGAGGAAGAUAACACAACAUAGUUAUUACUUAAUGUUUUAAGAUGCAUGAAUGAGUGAGAUCAAAUCUCUUAUAGAAACAUUUAGAGAUAUGUAAUGCUACUGACAAAUUUUAUAGGUUGUCUCAUUAUGCUGCUGUCACAAAGAGCCCAUAGCUCAUAUUUUUUCUCCAAUGCAAACUCUUAUGCGGCAGAAAACAAUGAAUCUUUUGACAUGUAUGUGUUGAAUAAAAGGACAGAAAGGGAAAGGGCAAGCAAUUAUAGACUUUUCCAGUAAUCUUAUGAAAUAAUGUUUAUUUGCUAUUUAUUGCUUAAUAUGCACACAAGUACCAAAUUUACAUUGCCCAUGAGAUGUUUUUGUAUUUAAAUUACUAUUAUCAUAAGCCAAAAAAGUGUGUAAAGUAGGCAAAUUAUAAAAUUAGUUGACGAUUUGGUUCUUCCUAGCUUAUAAAAUUAGCACACUUCCUUGCUGCUUUAGUCAAAACCAUUAAUUUCUCUAAAUUGUAUCAAUUAGGGCACAUAUAGUAUCUUCUCUAGUUCUUGGUUGGUUAUCGACAAAUACAAGCAUGUCAUCUUUUGGACUUUGUAAAAAAAAAUUAUCUCAUUGCAAUUCCCUUGAAAAGCAGUUACAAAGUUUUUCAUCUAUAUGCAGGAUGGUGAUCCUCGGCUUUCUUGUUUUGGUCUUAUGAAAAACAGCCGGGAUGGGAAAAGUUAUAGCACAAACCUGGCAUACACACCUCCAGAAUAUUUAAGAAAUGGUAUUUUCUUAUUUUUUAUUGAAGAUAUCUACUACUGACUAAACUUGGGAGUUAGAUUUAGUGCUUAUCUGAAGUAUAGGUUUGUGUAUGUACUAGACACUUCCUAGGCAUAAUUUUGCUUGUGCUUCUUUUACUUUUGACUCUAGACCAAUCAAAACUUGUCUACAGCAAGCUCAGGGAGUAUCAUUUUUCAGCAUUGGGUAUAUGUGGAUGUGUUCCUGUGAUUUCUAUUGGAUCAGUACUGCUCAGGAAAAAGAUUAACUAUUCCUACAAGUAUCAACUAAAAUUUACUGAAAUUCAUUAGUGUUGCUUCUAUCAUACUGUGAAAAUCAUGGUCGAGUUUGAAGAAUCUCAUGUGGAGGAGCUAUAUAGACGCCAUAAAGCUUGGUAAUAAUAAUCAAUUUUUAACAAGUUCCAAACAUGGAUUUUGUACUGUGAGGAUUACCCUCAAAGCUUGGUAAUUUCUGUGAUACAAUUCUCAUGCAUUACAUCACCACUGUAAUGUUCAGAUGAUGUAAGAACUUUUAAUUUUCAGUGGUAUUUCCAUCAAAUUUAACCAUAAAACAUAUCAGAAGCCAUCCAACUUAAACAUAAAAAAUACCAUCUAAGAAGCAAUAAGAUUGUAAGGUUGGUACUAUGAUAAUGUUGCUCCUGUAUGACUAGGAAGACCAAGGUUCAAGACUUCGAGUUACGGAAACAACUGCUCUAUAUUUGGAACUGAGGCUGCAUAUAUUGACCCUUCUAGACCCUUCAAGUUUCUAAAAGAUCUUUGAUACUGUGCCCAAUCCCGAAGUUAGUUCUAUACAUAUGAUCAGCGAUCAGGAAAAUAAAUGCAAUAGGGGGUGGGUGGAGGCGCUUAAGAAGCAACAGGAUAUUGAUGUAUGAGCUGUAUCAUCAAAAGUUGACCAGUAAUUAAAAUUAUAACAUAUAGCAGCUAAUAGCCAUAUGCCAAAGGCCCUAAAUUUGCUUGAAAGAAUAAUUAUGAGACUUAAUGAGGUCCUUUGGUUUUCUCUUCGACAUUGUCACCUACAGAGAUAACUGACUUCUGUAAGCCCCAGUUCACACCUCACCAUAGUGUUUCCUAUUUUAUUAUAGAUGGCCUUUGCUCUGGCACCAUUAACAACUACCCAACAAUACAUACAAACCUGAUAGCAUUUAUUUAAGUGGGCUCGCAACUGGGUGCAAAAUGCCUAAACCAAUUUAAUAUUAGUAGGCCACUUGGUGCAUGCAUAGAAUUUAUUUAUUUAUUUAUGUUCUUUUUCUGAUUAUGGACCACUGAAGUAUCACAAUAUUUUUCACUCAAAUUUAUAAUUCAUCUCAAAACUUGAAAAAAUCCCUGAAUUCCUCAAGGUGAUAUGAGUUUGUAAAGGUUUUAUGAGAUUGAAAACAGGAAGUGUUUGUGGACACUUAUGAUCUCUUAAUACACACCACUUCACCAAAAUACUGUAUCUUUUUACAACAAUGCUUGAGUCUUAUGAUUCCUAAAAAUCAUUGGAUCUACAAGCACCUUCCUAUCAACCAUUAGUAUAUGUUAUGACAUAUGCUUUCCAUCUAAAUUCUCUCCUUAAAGUUUACAGUUGUGUUGCUUUUUGUCCUUGAUUCCUUGUCCCUGCCAAAUUAGUGGUUCAUUAACUUGCAUAUUAGGUCUUAUAUAUCUUGCACACAAUUAAAAGUAAUUCUGAAAUACAAUUCAUAAAAACCUAGAAUCUUACCAGAUGGAACAAGUUUUAGCCACUAUUUUGGGCUUCUUAAAACUAAAAAUGUCUAUGUCAUUUUCGAUUCUGGUUUUGCGCUAACACAACCAUGCAGGUUUUUAUGCUUUUUCUUUAGAGGAAAAGGAAAAUUAAUUAAUUAAUUUCGAAGGAGCACCUCGCAUCUAGUCCCAUUUACCGAUGAAUGAUGCUUUUUAGGAUAAUAUGCCAUGAGAGACACCGAAUGGGGUUUUGUGCAACCUUUCUCCUCUCAUGGUUCUGAUUUAUGACUCUUUGUAUAAAAUCCAGACACCUGAAAUUUCAAUUGGCUAUGCCACUACAACUUGAGUCUCACACCACCGUUUUUGGAAUGGCAAUGACAUUUGUGGCACCCAUCUUAUCAUGCGAUAAUAACAAAUAUUUGAAUUUAUCUCAUGCAUAUAGUAAUCAUGUCUAUAUCUGUAUGUUUUUAUAUACAUGUACAUUUGCACAUAAAGACAUAUCUUCUUUUAUAUCUAAGAACUUAAGUGACAAUUACUUCAACUAUAUUAUUGACCUGUCAACCUUAACUUACUUUCCUAAUAUCUGUUUCCAAACCAUUCUCUUCAGUUUGAGUUUGGUACUUCUGUUUCCCUAUAAUAACAGUUUGUUUGCCUUUGUUGCCAACUGAAGACGAAAUGCAAAAGUAUUAAGGUUAGUUAACUUGCCAUUAAUAUUUUACACAGGAUAUGUGUUUCUUCUUCCAGUCCAUCAUGGUCAUCAGGACCAUAUCUUUAACAUGUCAUCUUGAUAAAUUUUUCUAAUGGUUGAUUGGAUCAUUUGACAGCUUUGGAUUCUUCCUUAGCAGCAUCAGUUCAUUCUUGUCUUCUAGUACGUUUACUAAUGUUCUGUUAGUAGGACUGUGAUUUCUACUCUACUCCACCUUGAAUAUUGCAUGAUUACUAGGAAAUACACGAAGUUAAAAAUUUCAUUCCAAAGAACUGUCUCUUUUAUCCUAUGAUGUCCUCAAGUUGGUUGGUGAAAUUUGUUAGUUCUCUUUUGUUUCUGUUAAUCAGUGCUUAUGGAAUUACUCUUUUCAGGGUGGGGAUCUAAUGAAAAAUUUUUAGUGAACACUGUUUGCCUAGGGCUUUUAUAUCUUUUCUUGUUGUGAUAUCUCGAUUCAUAUAUAUUAAUUUGGAUUUGGUUCUGCUCAUGAACUUUUAGAUACUUGAUUCAUGUAUCAUGUAAUUAGCUUUACAUAUGCAAUUUUAUACUGUCAAAAUGAACGAGAAACAAGUCCACAAGCAAAAUAACUGAAAUCUUAUUGAUCUCUGCAGGGAGAGUAACUCCAGAGAGUGUCAUAUUUAGCUUUGGCACUGUCCUUUUGGAUCUUCUCAGUGGAAAGCGCAUUCCUCCAAGUCAUGUUAGUAUUUCUUUCCUUUUCACUUUUUGUCUUUUAAGUAUUGGCAGUAGGACCUUCAGAACUUGUCACAUUAGAAUGCAAAGAUUAGUAGAUAUAUCCUUGUUGCAUCAGAACUUGACAUUUGCAAGAGGGUAGUAAAAUUAUUAACAUUCUGUAAAUUCAGGUGAAAUAAAAUGGAUAGUGCUCCUAGAAUUGUGUGAUGUUAAUAUUUCUCUGACACAUUAAGAAGCUCAUACAAGAAAAAUCGUAGAGGCUCAUGCCAUAUAUGGUUUUAUAGCAAUGGAGAGGCUCUGAAUAUAGAUAGCCAGAAAAUUCAGGAUAGUGUAUUUGGUGGAUCCAUGGGAUAGAUGAGAUAUUUAGUGAUAGGGAAAUAGUUAUCUUAACAUACGCAAGGAAUAUUAAAGAUGAAUUUCCUAUUGUCAAAAGUUUAAGAAAGAUUUUGGAAAACCUAAUGCAGUGUUGCUAAGAAUUUGUUCUAAACAUCUAAGGUUAUUGUAGAUGAAGUCUAAUAUUUUGCAAUAUGCUAGUACAGUUGCAAUAGGAUAUAUCAUUGAUAUCAACGAUUCUGUGCCCUGGUCGUUGAUUGUCAUAGCAAUAAAUCUGGUGGUAAUUUUAUCUUUUACCAACUAAAUUGUACUGAUGAAAGUUCUUGAAAAUCAUUUAGGGUCUAAAUUUAAACCAAGUUCAGGUUUAUUUGUAAAAUAAAUAACCUAUUAGGUUAUCUGUCUUGACAUAUUAAAUAUUCGUUUAUAUAACUAGACUAUAAAAAAUUAUUUGAUGUGAUUCAAGUACAUGGUACAGAAAACUUUAUGAACUCAGUAAAAGGAAUAUUUAUGGAAAACUAUGUAAUUCAACAACACAAUGGUUUGAGAAAAUAUAAAUGAAACUGUUGGAUGUAAGGAGAAGUUGGUGAUAUUUAUAGAUCCCUGAUAUCAUAUGCAUUCGCUUGAACAUUUUUGUGCACAUACAAAUUUGUGAUUUCUUUUAAUUAGUUAAUGAGAUUGAAGUUCUUGCAGGCUCUUGACAUGAUAAGAGGUAAAAACAUCUUAGGCUUAAUGGAUUCACACUUGGAGGGAAAUUUCUCAAUGGAAGAGGCAACAACACUGGUUGACCUUGCUUCUCAGUGCCUACAAUACGAACCUAGGGAUCGACCCAACACAAAGAUGCUGGUGGCAACACUUGGUCCAUUGCAAACCAAAUCAGAGGUACAGUCUUCUUUCAGCUUCUAUUCAAAGCUACAUGAGUUAGACUAGACUGGAUAUGGGUAGUUUUGAUUGGGUGUUUUUACCCAUCUCUUUUGUAGCCUCUGGCUAGUUGAUUAAUAGAUGCUUUCUUCCUUUUCAAAAAGAAAAAUAAUUUGUGAAUUGGCAUAAUGUUUUGGCAACUCAAAAGGUAUAGAAACUUCAACCUAAUCAUUGGUAUGAUGAACCUGAAUGAAGACCAAGAGAUGGUGCAGUCCCCUCAAAAACUGAAGCUUACAUUUUUGUUUUGGUAUGGGCCUUUGGCAAUGAUUAGUUCAUUUGCCUCCUAGAGGCUUCCUAGAGGCCUGCUAUGACACUUGAUUGGAUGUUCACAGUUCACCAGAUCAAUGUGCAAAGGCUUUUAGUAAAUGGGUCAGGUCUCAAUGAGGUCAUGUUGACUUGACAGGUUUAGAUUAGGAUUGUCAUCUCUAACAUGGGAAUUAUCUCUUAAACACUAAAGGUUUAGUGUUUUGCUCGUCAAUUUAAUGGAGGAUUGCAAAGUGCUGUUUUGUUUUUUGUUGAUCAUGCCACAAAUGUGUUGAAACUUGAUUUCUGCAUUUGAAGUUUGUUCUGGCGUGGCAUAAUGCUUUUUGAUACACAGGAACCAUCUUAUGUUAUGUUGGGUAUUGAAAAGCAUGAAGAGGCCCCUCCAGCUCCUCAGCAACCUCUUUCACCAAUGGGGGAAGCCUGCUCCAGAAUGGACCUUACUGCCAUCCAUCAGAUUCUAGUAAUGGCACACUAUAGAGAUGAUGAAGUAACUAAUGAGGUAUCAUUGCAAUUUUGACAUAAGAGAUUGUCUUCGAUUGCUAUUUCAAAUAUUCUGUUUAUAGUGAGGCCUGUUUCAGUUUGUACAGUUGAAUAUGAUGAUCGAUAAUAUUCUCUUCCUGGUAUCAGUUAUCAUUUCAGGAGUGGACACAGCAGAUGAGGGAUAUGCUGGAAGCAAGGAAGCGAGGGGAUUUUGCCUUCCGUGAUAAAGAUUUUAAGACUGCAAUCGAGUGUUACUCUCAGGUACUUCUCUGCCAUAGAAUCAAAGAUGAAUUUUGACCUGAUGAAUUAAGCCAGUUUCAAUCAAAGAGACCAACUUAAUGGCUCAUUGUUUGGGAUGGAAUUCUAUUGCACAUAAAAGUAAAUUUCUCCAAGUUGUCAAUCACCCUAGCAUGAUGCACCUAGCUACCGUGACAAGUCCUAUAGCCCUGUCCAUGGGAUGUUAUUUCCUACUCCUCACUAUGUCCGAUACUAGUCAAACCUGAUGAGAUAGUUGACCUAUUAACUUUGUUGAGUUUGAAUUAUUGGUCAAAAUACCUAAACUCAAAUUAAUAAUAUUAUAGCCAUAUAAUCCCUGUAAGUCUAUUCAAAUUUUACACACUCUCAAUGUGAAACUAAGCCGGUUAUACAUGGUGAUGGUAAUGUUCCUAUUGCUUUUUCUUUAGGGCUUCUAUCUGCAUCUUCAGGUAAUCUGACUGAAUGAAUAUACUUGUCAAAUAUGUGGAUACUGAUACCUUUUUUCUUUUCCGUGAUAGUAGAGAAGUACUACUAAGUUCAGAUUAUUUUUACCCUUCCCAAGUAACGAACUUUUAUUAGCCGUAUGGUCUAGUGCAUAUAAGUCAUUAUACUAUGCAGAUUGCACUCCAUCACAAGUCCUACUAACUUCAGAAUUUGAGAAUGAAUUCCUCAUGUUGAUGUUAUCACUGCCUAUUUUUUGCUUGCAGUUCAUAGAUGUGGGAACAAUGUUCUCACCUACAGUCUAUGCAAGGCGAAGUCUGUGCCAUCUCAUGUGUGAUCAAGCCGAUGCUGCUCUACGGGAUGCGAUGCAGGCACAAUGUCUCUACCCCGAUUGGCCCACCGCUUUCUAUAUGCAAGCAGUUGCCCUGGCCAAGCUGAACAUGCAGGGGGACUCCCUCGACAUGUUGCAGGAGGCCACGGCUCUAGAAGAGAAGAGGCAGAAAAGUGGUAGAGGUCCAUAAUGCACCUCUGCAUGUUGUACUUGUAUCUUGUCCCCAUCACUUGGUUGCUGAUUUGAGUUUAGCCAUCAUGUGAAAUCUGUGAUUGUGGUGCCAUGGGAAGAUGUAUUAUAGGGAAAGUGCUUUGGUUCAAUCAGUGCAUUUGGUUUCCCAUUGCCUGGUGUAUUCUUUGGCCCAAUCAUUUCCUGGUUGAUUUUUUUUACCUUUAUGUUUCUUUGGUUGUUACAUUCCAAUUUGGACCAAGGAUCGAUAUCCGAUGAUAUAAAUCGUACCAGUGUCUAUUUUGUUGUCAUGUUCCAGUGAUAUCUGUUAAUAUAGAUCACCCAAAAUCUGGUAAUCAUACAGGUUUCAUGUUGAUAUUGAACCUUGGUUUUGUAAGUUAUAUAUGCCUUAAUACUUUAGGUGAUAUUAGAUGUGAUAUUGAUCAUUCAUCGCGAUCUAAGAAUACAACAAUGUUGUCUCUUUAGGAUAUUUCUUCAGAUCAGUAGAAGGCAUACUCGCAUGCUGACUUGUGGAGUCGGGAAGGGAGUCUAUUAGGUAAAUCUAAGAUCUGAAGACUGAGGAUAUCUGUUGACUUGCCUGCUUGUAUGUUACAGAUGAAAUAGGUUUAGUACUGUCACCUGCAAUUGUACAUAGAAUCUCUUCGUCCAAUCUACAAAAUUAAUGUCAAGUUAGCUUUUAAGGAAGAAUAUAAACAAAUAGAAAAUCUACCUCUCUAGUAAAUGAAUCAGAAAGUUCUAAUUAAUAGAAGGAUGUGACAUUUCAGGUCUUCACAAUGGAAAAACAUAGGCUGGAUGAUGAGAAUGAAGUUGAGCACACUUCUCACUCAACAAGGAGAGGACACUGCAGGCACAAUAUAGAUUCGAAACUCAUGAAUGUUGCCUCAUAUAACAAUAUUAGCAUGAAUGAUUCAUUGUUGGGGAGACAAAGACAGAAUAUGAUCCUCAUGCACCAGCAGCAUCAAUGCAUCAUCAGCAAAACAAAACAAAAAAAA